GCGCCGCGCAAGACACACUGCGAGAGCCGCUCUCUGGCUGCAGGCGGACUCACACACGUCCUUUGCCCGUGGAUCAUGUCCCACCGAGUCGCAGCUCUACGAUUGACUGCCUUUGCGGUUGUCAGCUGAUUAAACAUCACCUGUAGAAUGGAAAAGAAGACUUUUCUCAAGAUACUCAUCAAAGAUAUGCAGUGAACAAGUGGGCAAACAAGUCAAGCGUGUUUGCUGUUUUAUUGAAUUUUCUGACGCUAACUGAUGAACGGAACGAGAAAUCAAAGCAUAAACUCUCGUGACAUGAAAAUUGGACAGGGUUUAUGAAUAGAAAUAAAUCAAAAUCUCAACAAUGAAGUGAAUGGUGUUAUUGACGACACGUUAACUAACUGGAGGAGAUACAUGGAAUAACAUAAUCAGAUAAUUGAAAUCAUUUGAAUGUUUACACCAUGGGAAAAGAUUCACAAUGAGAAACAAUAAUCAGGGAUAAAGAACUAACUUAGAUUGUGAAGUGAAUAAAUAAAAGGAUGCAAUAUGCGAACUGAAAACCUACGCAGCACCGGCCUUUGUUCACCGAAAAUUGACCUAAUCGAUAUGGAACGUUUAUAAAAGACCAGUCGUUGGGUUGUUUGAAAAUAAACUACGCUGUCUUUCGUGACGUUCCACAAACGGGAAAUAUAUAUUUAUUUAUACAUUUUUUUUGGAUUUUAAGAGCACGUGAAAGAUCAAUAGACCCAGAACUUCUGAAGGAGCAUGAUCCCCUUAUCUCUUGUGGUGUUGGUGGUCGGGGCCGUGGUGGUGAUCGGCGGCCUCUGCCUCUGCUACUUCUUCUCCAUUAGGGCCAUGUGGCGCGGCGGAGGACGCCAGCCCGUCGCCCAUCCUGAGAUCACCUGAGACUACGUCCUCGGCGUGACCUCCUCCAGGGAUCACGUGACGCAGGUACAGGAGGAGGACGAGGUGUGAAGACAUCCCGGAUGCGCACUAAGGAUGUCCAUGAAGACUCUCGACCGGAAGGGGUGGGCGGAAGGAGGGCAGGAAAUGGCCGUCCUUGUCCUUGUGUUUAAGGGGAUGCAAGGAUGCCUCCCGACGGACCAGAAAAAGGUCAGUGGCGUCGCGUGGAAGAGGAGAAGGAGAGGACUCGAAACGUGAAACAAAGAACACUGUAAAAAUAAGGGCACGUAGAUAACCUAGUAUUUAUAUACAGGAAUGAGAUAAAAUCGUGUGAUAAAAUACACAGCCUGUGUGAUAUAUAUUGCAUAGUAUGGCAUCUCAUGACAGCUUUUCAUAUCAUGUAAAGGAUAAUAAGAACAAUCACAAAUGAAUAAAGCUAAACAGUCACAUUUACUGAAACUAAAACUUUUCUCCUAAUGAAUCAUGGUGUAAAUGCUUUGUGGAUUUAUUUCUUAUAACAAUUCAGCAACAUGACAAGAAGUUCACUCCGCUGAUCAACCAAAGACUCGCUGGAAUAAUAAUCAAGGAAACCCUUCUACUGCAACGAAGUAGAACCUUCGUAUUUUACCUUCAUGCGAAGGAGGACUGAUUGCUCAAAGACAAGGUGCGACGACCCGGAGAACAUCUUUAGAGCGGAAAUAUUCAAGGAUGAGGGAGACAGCGACCUCUGGCAACGAUCGAUCUCACCUCCAUGCAGACUACGUGUUCUUUUCCCUGGUGUUUGACUUCAUACGUGGAGAAACAGGAACAAAAAAUAAAUAAAUAAAUAAAUAAAUAAACAAAAACAAUACUAAUGGAAAUGAGCCAAUUCAACAAACAAAUGGAAUAAAACAAAACAAACCCGUAGAUAUAGCGUGUUCUGUGUUUCUUUGUUUUCAUUCGUGUAUGAUUUUCUAAAUGAAAGAUGUUGGUGGUUUGUAUUCCCUUUGUGCUACUGUUCCCAGAAGACAAUGGCAAGAUGAGCUUCCCUGUGGCCACAUAUCCCUUACUUUCCUCUGCCUGUUUCAUUGUACCAGUAUCAAAAUACUUGAUGAACCAAUAUGCCGAACGUCCAUCCGCACAAGGUGUCGUUGUACAAGGUCUGUCCAUUCAUUUGUUUUCGAAACCGUAAGGCAUAAAACUAACCUUGGAUGAUUUCGUGAUUUUUGUUUCUCGGAAAAAAUAAAAGAAUAGAAAGUAGAUUACUUCCUCGUGAUUUUUUUGUUUGUUUUUUUUGUUUUCCCUUUCGGUAUUAGAAGUCCUUUGUCAAGAGAGUUCUAUUUUGGUUUCUUUUGUUAUCGUAGUGGCAUCGAAGCCUUUGCUGCUGAGGCUUCUUAAACUUAGAAUGGUCGAGCGAAAACACGGGCUGUUUGUAACAUUAGGGCAAACGUUAUUAUUCUCGUGAUAAAAAAACACAUAAUCCUUUAUACACCCCCGCGCGCGCGCACACACACACACACACACACACACACACACACACACACAUACAC
This 2411-nucleotide long non-coding RNA is filed under the name Penaeus chinensis. RNAcentral's name for it is "uncharacterized LOC125041975". Lineage: Eukaryota; Metazoa; Arthropoda; Malacostraca; Decapoda; Penaeidae. The record is from RNAcentral.